AUUGAACGCUGGCGGCAGGCCUAACACAUGCAAGUCGAACGGAGCGGCAGUCGGGGGAGGGAUGGCUAGGAAUCUGCCUGGUCGUGGGGGCUAACGACCGGAAACGGGCGCUAAUACCGCAUACUAUCAGAUGAGCCUCGGUCGUAUUAGCUAGGUGGUGGGGUAAAGGCCUACCAAGGCGACGAUCCGUAACUGGGCUGAGAGGAAGAUCAGUCACACUGGGACUGAGACACGGUCCAGACUCCUACGGGAGGCAGCAGUGGGGAAUAUUGGACAAUGGGCGAAAGCCUGAUCCAGCCAUGCCGCGUGUGUGAAGAAGGCCUUCGGAUUGUAAAGUACUUUAAGCUGGGAGGCGUUACCAACAGAAUAAGCACCGGCUAACUUCGUGCCAGCAGCCGCGGUAAUUC
Molecule: ribosomal RNA, 407 nt
Filed under: uncultured bacterium
Lineage: Bacteria
Description: partial 16S ribosomal RNA
Rfam family: Bacterial small subunit ribosomal RNA
Source: RNAcentral